This 932-nucleotide ribosomal RNA is filed under the name Cortinarius napivelatus. RNAcentral's name for it is "LSU rRNA". It matches the Rfam family "Eukaryotic large subunit ribosomal RNA", at positions 37 to 953 of the family's 3401-position model. The record is from RNAcentral. Lineage: Eukaryota; Fungi; Basidiomycota; Agaricomycetes; Agaricales; Cortinariaceae.
AGCAUAUCAAUAAGCGGAGGAAAAGAAACUAACAAGGAUUCCCCUAGUAACUGCGAGUGAAGCGGGAAAAGCUCAAAUUUAAAAUCUGUCAGCUUUGGCUGUCCGAGUUGUAAUCUAGAGAAGCGUUAUCCGCGCUGGACCGUGUACAAGUCUCCUGGAAUGGAGCGUCAUAGAGGGUGAGAAUCCCGUCUUUGACACGGACUGCCAGGGCUUUGUGAUGCGCUCUCAAAGAGUCGAGUUGUUUGGGAAUGCAGCUCAAAAUGGGUGGUAAAUUCCAUCUAAAGCUAAAUAUUGGCGAGAGACCGAUAGCGAACAAGUACCGUGAGGGAAAGAUGAAAAGAACUUUGGAAAGAGAGUUAAACAGUACGUGAAAUUGCUGAAAGGGAAACGCUUGAAGUCAGUCGCGUUGUCCAGGGAUCAACCUUGCUUUUGCUUGGUGUACUUUCUGGUUGACGGGUCAGCAUCAAUUUUGACUAUUGGAAAAAGGUCAGGGGAAUGUGGCAUCUUCGGAUGUGUUAUAGCCCUUGGUUGCAUACAAUGGUUGGGAUUGAGGAACUCAGCACGCCGCAAGGCCGGGUUUUUUUUAACCACGUACGUGCUUAGGAUGCUGGCAUAAUGGCUUUAAUCGACCCGUCUUGAAACACGGACCAAGGAGUCUAACAUGCCUGCGAGUGUUUGGGUGGAAAACCCGAGCGCGUAAUGAAAGUGAAAGUUGAGAUCCCUGUCGUGGGGAGCAUCGACGCCCGGACCAGACCUUUUGUGACGGUUCCGCGGUAGAGCAUGUAUGUUGGGACCCGAAAGAUGGUGAACUAUGCCUGAAUAGGGUGAAGCCAGAGGAAACUCUGGUGGAGGCUCGUAGCGAUUCUGACGUGCAAAUCGAUCGUCAAAUUUGGGUAUAGGGGCGAAAGACUAAUCGAACCAUCUAGUAGCUG